This 104-nucleotide non-coding RNA is filed under the name Staphylococcus pettenkoferi. RNAcentral describes it as "Glycine sequence". It matches the Rfam family "Glycine riboswitch aptamer". From Rfam's summary of the family: This family represents the bacterial glycine riboswitch. Glycine riboswitches usually consist of two metabolite-binding aptamers domains with similar structures in tandem. Lineage: Bacteria; Bacillati; Bacillota; Bacilli; Caryophanales; Staphylococcaceae. The record is from RNAcentral. RNAcentral also lists the same sequence under 1 other name.
UUGAUCAGUGUUAGAGAGAAUGAUUGUAUUCUUUGUUGAAUAUAAUCAUCGCCGAAGGUGCAAGUAAAUACGAAUCUCUCAGGCAAAAGGAUGACACUGUGACG